GGGGUAGUAGCUCAGUGGAUAGAGCAGCAGUCUUCUAAACUGAAGGUCGAGAGUUCGACUCUCUCCUGCCCCGCCA
RNAcentral lists this transfer RNA (76 nucleotides) under Puniceicoccales bacterium. RNAcentral's name for it is "tRNA-Arg". It matches the Rfam family "tRNA". Rfam says of the family: Transfer RNA (tRNA) molecules are approximately 80 nucleotides in length. The record is from RNAcentral. Lineage: Bacteria; Pseudomonadati; Verrucomicrobiota; Opitutia; Puniceicoccales.